GGGAUCGAAGCUGAGCUGGUGCUAGCGGCCGAUUGUUAAUCGGACGGUGGUUGGUUCAAUUCCAACCGAUCCCG
Molecule: transfer RNA, 74 nt
Filed under: Deltaproteobacteria bacterium
Lineage: Bacteria; Pseudomonadati; Myxococcota; Myxococcia
Also listed under: 2 other names
Description: tRNA-Asn
Rfam family: tRNA
About the family: Transfer RNA (tRNA) molecules are approximately 80 nucleotides in length. Their secondary structure includes four short double-helical elements and three loops (D, anti-codon, and T loops). Further hydrogen bonds mediate the characteristic L-shaped molecular structure. tRNAs have two regions of fundamental functional importance: the anti-codon, which is responsible for specific mRNA codon recognition, and the 3' end, to which the tRNAs corresponding amino acid is attached (by aminoacyl-tRNA synthetases). tRNAs cope with the degeneracy of the genetic code in two manners: having more than one tRNA (with a specific anti-codon) for a particular amino acid; and 'wobble' base-pairing, i.e. permitting non-standard base-pairing at the 3rd anti-codon position.
Source: RNAcentral